RNAcentral lists this ribosomal RNA (403 nucleotides) under uncultured bacterium. RNAcentral's name for it is "partial 16S ribosomal RNA". It matches the Rfam family "Bacterial small subunit ribosomal RNA", at positions 28 to 526 of the family's 1533-position model. The record is from RNAcentral.
GACGAACGCUGGCGGCGUGCCUAAUACAUGCAAGUCGAACGCAGUGGGGACGGGUGCGUAACACGUGGGUAACCUCCCAUCAGAGGAGAUAACACUUGGAAACAGGUGCUAAACCUAUACUGAUGGAUGGACCCGCGGUGCAUUAGCUAGUUGGUGAGGUAACGGCUCACCACGGCCACGAUGCAUAGCCGCACUGAGAGGGUGAUCGGCCACGCUGGGACUGAGACAUGGUCCAGACUCCUACGGGAGGCAGCAGUAGGGAAUAUUCGGCAAUGGACGAAAGUCUGACCGAGCAACGCCGCGUGAGUGAAGAAGGUUGUCGGAUCGUAAAAUUCUGUGGUUAGAGAAGCGGUAUCUAACCAGAAAGCAACGGCUAACUACGUGCCAGCAGCCGCGGUAAGUC